Molecule: ribosomal RNA, 251 nt
Filed under: uncultured bacterium
Lineage: Bacteria
Description: partial 16S ribosomal RNA
Rfam family: Bacterial small subunit ribosomal RNA
Source: RNAcentral
ACGGAGGGUGCAAGCGUUAAUCGGAAUUACUGGGCGUAAAGCGCACGCAGGCGGUUUGUUAAGUCAGAUGUGAAAUCCCCGGGCUCAACCUAGGAACUGCAUCUGAUACUGGCAAGCUUGAGUCUCGUAGAGGGGGGUAGAAUUCCAGGUGUAGCGGUGAAAUGCGUAGAGAUCUGGAGGAAUACCGGUGGCGAAGGCGGCCCCCUGGACGAAGACUGACGCUCAGGUGCGAAAGCGUGGGGAGCAAACAG